This 214-nucleotide long non-coding RNA is filed under the name Solanum tuberosum (potato). Its description in RNAcentral is "long non-coding RNA (STUB_LNC006092)". Lineage: Eukaryota; Viridiplantae; Streptophyta; Magnoliopsida; Solanales; Solanaceae. The record is from RNAcentral.
CUCAACUCAACUCAACCUGACUGACUUCUUUCAAUAUAAGGCAAUUUAAAACAAGUGCGAUAUAAAGAAAGACUGUUUAAAACAUGCUAUAAACUCUGUGUGUAUACAAGGAUACAAUAAGCCUGAGAUGUAUAUAGAAAUACAAUUGAACUGAUGUAUAUAAAAUACAAUACUUUCUGUGUAUGAAAAUACAAUAACUGCUGUGGGAGUUUCU